UACGGAGGGUGCAAGCGUUGUCCGGAUUUAUUGGGCUUAAAGGGCGCGUAGGCGGGGCCUCAAGUCUGGUUUGAAAGUUAGCUGCUCAACAGUUAGACGUGGCUGGAAACUGGGAUUCUGGAAUGGGUUGGCGGCUGCCGGAACGGGUCGUGUAGCGGUGAAAUGCAUAGAUAUGACGCAGAACACCGAUUGCGAAGGCAGGCAGCUACGACUUGAUUGACACUGAGGCACGAGAGCAUGGGUAGCGAACAGG
This 253-nucleotide ribosomal RNA is filed under the name uncultured bacterium. RNAcentral describes it as "partial 16S ribosomal RNA". It matches the Rfam family "Bacterial small subunit ribosomal RNA", at positions 524 to 776 of the family's 1533-position model. The record is from RNAcentral.